This is a non-coding RNA of Marchantia paleacea, 92 nucleotides long. Lineage: Eukaryota; Viridiplantae; Streptophyta; Marchantiopsida; Marchantiales; Marchantiaceae. The record is from the annotation of a GenBank genome assembly.
CGCGACCGACCUUAGCUCAGUUGGUAGAGCGAGAGACUAUAGUGCUGAGUCAGACGUCUCUAGGUCGCUGAUUUGAAUCCGGCAGGUCGGAC